This 202-nucleotide long non-coding RNA is filed under the name Elaeis guineensis (African oil palm). RNAcentral's name for it is "long non-coding RNA (EGUI_LNC008889)". The record is from RNAcentral. Lineage: Eukaryota; Viridiplantae; Streptophyta; Magnoliopsida; Arecales; Arecaceae.
CGGCAUCUUAUCGAUGUGAGAUAGAUUAGAUCGGCAACUGACUAAACUAAAUACCACGUAUCCCUUUAGCAUCUUAUAAUCAUAUCAGCCAAAGACCAAUGUAAUUUACCAUUGAUCGACAAAAGGCUAAGAUGGGUAUUAUACUUUAAAAACAUAUCAGCUCUGAUCGAGUUAAGUCGAGCAAACAUCAAACUAAAGAAGC